RNAcentral lists this transfer RNA (68 nucleotides) under Myotis davidii. It matches the Rfam family "tRNA". Rfam says of the family: Transfer RNA (tRNA) molecules are approximately 80 nucleotides in length. Their secondary structure includes four short double-helical elements and three loops (D, anti-codon, and T loops). Lineage: Eukaryota; Metazoa; Chordata; Mammalia; Chiroptera; Vespertilionidae. The record is from Rfam by way of RNAcentral.
GUCAUGGCUCAGUGGUUGAGCAUCAGCCUAUGAACCUGGAGGUCAUGGUUCGAUUCCUGGUCAGGACA